GACGAACGCUGGCGGCGUGCUUAACACAUGCAAGUCGAACGGAAAGGCCCUGCUUUUGUGGGGUGCUCGAGUGGCGAGCGGGUGAGUAACACGUGAGUAACCUGCCCUUGACUUUGGGAUAACUUCAGGAAACUGGGGCUAAUACCGGAUAGGAUCUCCUGCUGCAUGGUGGGGUUUGGAAAGUUUCGGCGGUUGGGGAUGGACUCGCGGCUUAUCAGCUUGUUGGUGGGGUAGUGGCUUACCAAGGCUUUGACGGGUAGCCGGCCUGAGAGGGUGACCGGCAAAAUUGGGACUGAGAUACGGACCAGAGUCCUACGGGAGGCAGCAGUGGGGAAUAUUGAACAAUGGGCGGAAGCAUGAUGCAGAAACGCAGCGUGCGGGAUGACGGCCUUCGGGUUGUAAACCGAUUUCGCAUGUGACGAAGCGUGAGUGACGGUAAUGGGUAAAGAAGCACCGGCUAACUACGUG
Molecule: ribosomal RNA, 468 nt
Filed under: uncultured bacterium
Lineage: Bacteria
Description: partial 16S ribosomal RNA
Rfam family: Bacterial small subunit ribosomal RNA
Source: RNAcentral